Non-coding RNA from Cyprinus carpio (common carp), 1250 nucleotides. The record is from the annotation of a RefSeq genome assembly. NCBI's taxonomy places the organism in Eukaryota, Metazoa, Chordata, Actinopteri, Cypriniformes, Cyprinidae.
AUGUCUCUGCUGUCUUGAGGUAAAUGAUGUGGAGUGUGUUUGCAUAUUGUUCAGAUGCUUCAGUGCUCUGAGAGUGUUUAUAGUGCUGUGAGUUUAACACUUCAUCACUGACACACACAACAAUCUUCAUCAACAUGACCUUCAUCAUCAUCUUCAUCUGGACUCUCACAGCGUUUGCUCAAGAGUGUAGAGGACAGAUCAGCGUCACUCAGAGUCCCUCAACAGCAGCUCAACCAGGAGAAACAGUGAAGAUCAGCUGUAAAACCAGCACAGAUGUGUACAGUGAUAGUUCGGGGCAGCGCUUAGCCUGGUACUUACAGAAACCUGGAGAAGCUCCUAAACUCCUGAUUUUUUGGGCUAACCGCCUCCAGUCAGGAACUCCAUCUAGAUUCAGUGGCAGUGGAUCUAACAGUGAUUUCACUCUGACCAUCAGUGGAGUCCAGACUGAAGAUGCUGCACAUUAUUACUGUCAGAGUUUCCACGUCAUCAACAGUCAAUAUGUGUUCACACAGUGAUAAAGAGUGGUACAAAAACCUCGGUCAGUCAGAGUCACAGUGACUGAACUGAUGCUGCAGCUGCUCAAAGGAGGAUCUGAAACUCUGUUGUUUUUGCUCUUUCUCCUCAUAUUCUGACUCUCUGUAGGGAGGGAGAAGAGAAAUGCUGGAAACUGGACUGAUUGAAUCUGCACAGCUUUGAGGAUUUGAUUUGAUUUGAUUCAUUGUGCUCUUAUAGAUCCGUCACAUGAUGGAGAUUGAAAAACCAGCGAUUGAUCUCAGUUACUGUACACUACUGUUAAAACGUUUCAGAUCAACCAUACACAAAUGUAAUAUAUGCACGUACAUGUAAUACAUUUCCAUACACAUAUGUAUAUUUAUAUAUGUUUAAAACAAUUUUGGACAUAUACAGUAUGUCAUGUACAGUACAUGCAUAUCCAUUCUAAAAACCGUCAAUACAUGUAGAUAUUAUAUAAGCAAAUCAAAAAGAUAGACACGUAUUUUAAAAAUAAUUGCAUAUGUUUACAAAACUUUACAUGGUUGCUACAUAACACAUAAAAAUUAUGACAUUGAUAUUAUUAUCAUAUGGACACAGGGGCACAUUAAUGCAUGGGUUAUAAGGGGCUGAAGAUUAGGGGCCUACACUUGGGAGGGGCCCACUGGCUGCUGGGAAAUUAUAUUUUUCGAAUAAUUAUUUGUAUAUAUGGGAGUUUGCAGCAGUGACAACAGCAUUCUGUAAACAAACUUACACACUCA